Molecule: ribosomal RNA, 112 nt
Organism: Bos indicus x Bos taurus (hybrid cattle)
Lineage: Eukaryota; Metazoa; Chordata; Mammalia; Artiodactyla; Bovidae
Source: Ensembl
GUCUAUAGCCAUACCACGCUGAACGCACCCAAUCUCAUUUGAUCUUGAAAGCUAAGCAGGGUUGGGCCUGGUUAGUACUUAGAAGGGAGAAAUACUGGGGUUGCCAUUUCCU